This 85-nucleotide non-coding RNA is filed under the name uncultured Fusobacterium sp. RNAcentral describes it as "Glycine riboswitch". It matches the Rfam family "Glycine riboswitch aptamer". From Rfam's summary of the family: This family represents the bacterial glycine riboswitch. Glycine riboswitches usually consist of two metabolite-binding aptamers domains with similar structures in tandem. Lineage: Bacteria; Fusobacteriati; Fusobacteriota; Fusobacteriia; Fusobacteriales; Fusobacteriaceae. The record is from RNAcentral.
ACGAACCUCUGGAGAGACUCAUAGAGCACCGAAGGAGCAAACCCGACUAGUCGGACUAAACUCUCAGGUAAAAGGACAGAGGAAU